Long non-coding RNA from Camelus dromedarius (Arabian camel), 1033 nucleotides. RefSeq lists it as uncharacterized. NCBI's taxonomy places the organism in Eukaryota, Metazoa, Chordata, Mammalia, Artiodactyla, Camelidae. The record is from RefSeq and is a predicted model, not a curated record. The transcript has 5 exons.
AUUCAAAGAUCAUCAUGGCCUGCAGGAUAGAGAUAAACAGAACAUGUCAGUGCUGAAGUAUAGGUUUUGAGACAGACUGAAGUUUGGAUUUUGACUUGGCUUCCUAAUGACUUAGGUUACUCCAACUGCCACUUCUGAGGCGUUAGGAACAAAAGCAGGGUCCCUGGGUCAGAAGCCAGAUGCUGCGCGGGAUCCCUACACACAGCACCGCCAAGGAGGUGACUGCAUAGUGGCUGAAGUCGCAUGAGAGGGCAGAGUGAAUGUGAGCUGAUGUCUUAUCACAGGAUAUGCUAACAAGGAAGGUCAACACAACCCCAUGACUUUAAGAACAGAUUGGAGGCAGACUUCGUCUCAGUCACCUGCUCAGACUGGUCCUUGUGCAGGACCCUAGUGCACCUGUGGAAGUCAUCCCUGAUGAAUUAUGAUACUUCAGAUUGUUAUCCCAACAAGGAAUAAACAGUUGCUGAAGGAAGUGGGUGAGCCUGGCUCGCUGGGCCCCAGCGCUGACUCAGUCAUGCAGCGCUAAUUUCCUGGCGGUCUCUGAAUGCGCGUGAAGCUGCUCUGUAGCUGCUGCUGACAAUGAACUAGUGACUGGAAAAAGGAAUCUUAAACACAGUCACAUCUCCUGACUGUUAAAAUCCUGUUCACAAGCCACGCUGAUCUAAUACGCUACACGACAGGAAUAACAUUGAAAAAAAAAAAAAAAAGAAAGAAAGAAAAGAAAAGAAGAAUAAACAGCUACACAGUAUACAAAGUUUCUCAUCUACUUUUUGGUGUGUUGCCAGGCAACUCCAUUAUUCUUAACAUAUAUUUCUCAGGGCACCAAAAUUCUAUUCUGGCUAUUUCUUUCCAGUGAAUCAUUAAAUGUUUCAAAGUUUGCUAGAUACGUGAUUUUAUAGUAAAUAUUUGUCAUGACAUCUUAAAUGAAACAAUGGUGUAAUUACAUUUAGAAUGACCGUUUUUUAAAAAGUCCGAAGACAAUUUGCAUAGAGAGUUUUAGUGGAAGAGUGUUAAUAUCUGAGACUUACAAGGA